GGUUAAAUUGGUGUAGUUCAUUAAUCAGUGAGGCUAUAAUAGUCGAUUUAUAAUAUGUAAUUAUAUGCGGUAGUCCCAUUCCCCCAUUUCUAUACGCUAAAUACAUGGUGUUUGCAGCUGUUCAGGGUUUCUUAUUGUUCCAAACAAAAGCAUUAAUAGUGUUUUGAGCCUCCUGAAAGAACUGUUUGGGUAAUUUAACUUGGAGCAUAUGAAAUAAG
This is a non-coding RNA of Pelobates cultripes (western spadefoot toad), 218 nucleotides long. Lineage: Eukaryota; Metazoa; Chordata; Amphibia; Anura; Pelobatidae. The record is from the annotation of a GenBank genome assembly.